UACACGAGUGGCGAACGGGUGAGUAACACGUGGGUGAUCUGCCCUGUACUUCGGGAUAAGCCUGGGAAACUGGGUCUAAUACCGGAUAUGACCUUCUCCUGCAUGGGGGUUGGUGGAAAGCUUUUGCGGUACAGGAUGGGCCCGCGGCCUAUCAGCUUGUUGGUGGGGUAAUGGCCUACCAAGGCGACGACGGGUAGCCGGCCUGAGAGGGCGACCGGCCACACUGGGACUGAGACACGGCCCAGACUCCUACGGGAGGCAGCAGUGGGGAAUAUUGCACAAUGGGCGCAAGCCUGAUGCAGCGACGCCGCGUGAGGGAUGACGGCCUUCGGGUUGUAAACCUCUUUCAGUAGGGACGAAGCGCAAGUGACGGUACCUACAGAAGAAGCACCGGCCAACUACGUGCCAGCAGCCGCGGUAAUACGUAGGGUGCAAGCGUUGUCCGGAAUUACUGGGCGUAAAGAGCUCGUAGGCGGUUUGUCACGUCGUCUGUGAAAACCCGAGGCUUAACCUCGGGCCUGCAGGCGAUACGGGCAGACUUGAGUACUGUAGGGGAGACUGGAAUUCCUGGUGUAGCGGUGGAAUGCGCAGAUAUCAGGAGGAACACCGGUGGCGAAGGCGGGUCUCUGGGCAGUAACUGACGCUGAGGAGCGAAAGCGUGGGUAGCGAACA
This 672-nucleotide ribosomal RNA is filed under the name Tsukamurella strandjordii. Its description in RNAcentral is "bacterial SSU rRNA". It matches the Rfam family "Bacterial small subunit ribosomal RNA", at positions 88 to 774 of the family's 1533-position model. The record is from RNAcentral. Lineage: Bacteria; Bacillati; Actinomycetota; Actinomycetes; Mycobacteriales; Tsukamurellaceae.